AUGGAUAUUAUCUGGCUUGCGCGGAAGUGUACAGGCAAUGGUUUUGGUGAUGCAUGGCAUUAUCUGGCCAUGGUAUGGGAAUUAUCUGGGGAUUAUCCGGCUAGCAUAUGGGCAGUGUAUCUGAACACUACACGAGCCAUGUAUGGAGGAGCGGCCGCAUGCUCCGGCCGGAGCGAGACGCGGCGCGGAGGGCAACGGACGGAGCGACGAGGCCGACCGAAGCGAGGCGGCGCGGCGCACGUGCGGACGGACUGCCGGCGCUGCAACGGUGGUGACGAAGAGGCCGAGGCCGACGACGAGGGUGCGUCGACCCGCGCAGCCGCCCCCUCUCGCGGCCGCUCCGGGGGCGUGUCGGUGUCGAGCCCCCGAGCGCUACCGGAGAGACGGCGCGACGCCGCCGUGAUGAUGACAAAGAUGGUCCUGCCCGGACUGCGAAACCAGCAGCAGCGUGGUAGCAUGAUAGUAGUACCACACCACGGUGGACGCCAACUGUCGUGGUAUUCUUACGGGGGGCUUGCGAGUCGACAGAGGCCACAAGGGCUUAGUGUGAGGGUAAGACUGCUGCUGAUAGGACCGGGAGCGGGUAUGCGAGUAGCACGCGGUGAUUUACCCAGCUUCGGAGCUCUCCGGAGAGAUAAUACUCCUACUGCUGCAUGUCUGAGUGUAUAUAUCUGGGGUGUACAUCGGGCAGUACAAAGUGCUCCUGGAGCUGUAUCUGGGAUCAGUGCCAAGUGCAUCUGA
Molecule: ribosomal RNA, 741 nt
Filed under: Triticum aestivum (bread wheat)
Lineage: Eukaryota; Viridiplantae; Streptophyta; Magnoliopsida; Poales; Poaceae
Description: partial small subunit ribosomal RNA
Source: RNAcentral